Molecule: ribosomal RNA, 517 nt
Filed under: uncultured fungus
Lineage: Eukaryota; Fungi
Description: eukaryotic LSU rRNA
Rfam family: 5.8S ribosomal RNA (bases 149-302)
Source: RNAcentral
UCCGUAGGUGAACCUGCGGAAGGAUCAUUAGUGAUUGCCAUCUUGGCUUAAACUAUAUCCAUCUACACCUGUGAACCGUUUGAUUGAAUCUUCUGAUUCAAUUUUACAAACAUUGUGUAAUGAACGUCAUUAGAUCAUAACAAAAAAAAACUUUUAACAACGGAUCUCUUGGCUCUCGCAUCGAUGAAGAACGCAGCGAAAUGCGAUAAGUAAUGUGAAUUGCAGAAUUCAGUGAAUCAUCGAAUCUUUGAACGCAACUUGCGCUCUCUGGUAUUCCGGAGAGCAUGCCUGUUUGAGUGUCAUGAAAUCUCAACCAUUAGGGUUUCUUAAUGGCUUGGAUUUGGAGGUUGCCAUUCUAAAUGGCUCCUCUUAAAGGAGUUAGCAAGUUUUACUAUUGCUAUCUGGCGUAAUAAGUUUCGCUGGAAUGGUAUUGUGAAGCGUGCUUCUAAUCGUCUUCGGACAAUUACUUUGACUCUGGCCUCAAAUCAGGUAGGACUACCCGCUGAACUUAAGCAUA